RNAcentral lists this long non-coding RNA (279 nucleotides) under Sorghum bicolor (sorghum). RNAcentral's name for it is "long non-coding RNA (SBIC_LNC014199)". The record is from RNAcentral. Lineage: Eukaryota; Viridiplantae; Streptophyta; Magnoliopsida; Poales; Poaceae.
GCUACCAUCCUCAAUGUUUUAUAUGCCUGAUAAAACUGAAAAUAUUAGUUAUGAUUAUAAAAGCUAUCAACUCUGUAUUGAGUUUGUUCAAAAUGAGUUAGACCCUUGUUGAGAGAUUUAUCAUGCUCCUAAUAUCAAGACAUUUAUUCAGAAAGAUUCACUCUUCUGAAGUAUUAUUGCAUUAGAGGCAUGGGCUAUGCCAAAAUAAGGAUAUUUCGAGGAAAUAAAAAGGAGCAAGUGCUCGAUAACCUCAUAGAAAAAAAUGGACAAGUGUCCGGC